CCUACGGGCGGCAGCAGUGAGGAAUAUUGGUCAAUGGCCGUAAGGCUGAACCAGCCAAGUCGCGGGAAGGAAGAAGGAGCUAUGGUUUGUAAACUUCUGUUAUAGGGGAAUAAAGGGAGCCACGUGUGGAUAUUUGCAUGUACCCUAUGAAUAAGCAUCGGCUAACUCCGUGCCAGCAGCCGCGGUAAUACGGAGGAUGCGAGCGUUAUCCGGAUUUAGUGGGGUUAAAGGGUGCGUAGGUUGUUUUUUAAGUCAGCGGUGAAAGUUUGUGGCUCAACCAUAAAAUUGCCGUUGAAACGGGCAGCCUUGAGUGUGUUUGAGGUAGGCGGCAUGCGUGUUGUAGCGGU
This 347-nucleotide ribosomal RNA is filed under the name uncultured bacterium. RNAcentral's name for it is "partial 16S ribosomal RNA". It matches the Rfam family "Bacterial small subunit ribosomal RNA", at positions 338 to 682 of the family's 1533-position model. The record is from RNAcentral.